AUAAUUAACAUGGCCUAAUUAGCCAGCAGGCGGCUGCUCCUGGGGCCCAGCUGCCUGUCCUGCUCUCUCUGCCUUAUCCCAGCCCCUUGGUUGACGGUCGCCUCAGAGAAGCCCUGGAUGAGGCUGAAGACACAUCUAACAAGGAGGACACAGCACAGCACAAAUGCACACCACCACAGGACACAACCCGAUGACAGCAGACAAAGAGAGGCCGUACUCGGUCUUUGCUGGCGCAGGCGAAACAGAGCUGUCUGCAGUGGAAGGAGCAAGCUCAGGGGCUUGUCCACUGGCCCCAGCGGCGGGAGCAGGAGAGCCCAGGGCUGCAAAAACAUCCUUUGCAAGGGUUCCAAAUGGAGAACGUGCAAUGAAAGGAAAGGCACCAGCUGAUGGCGCAGGGUGGUGCAGCUGCUGGGUCCCUGGGCUGGAGCAGAGCCCAAACCUCAGCAAGGUGGACAGGUCUGCACUCACGAGAAGGCGGCCUUGCCCUCCUCCAUGUCCUUGCCCUUGGCCCCGGGCCCGGCUUUUCCACACAGGUUGACCGCAAUGCACAUGAACAGGCCACACUUGUUCAGGAAGUAGCAGGUGAUGUCCACAACCACCAGGAGCAGGACGAAGAUGACGAUGAGGAUGCCCACGAUGGCCCCGGUGCUCAGGCCUGAGGUGGGGCUGCCGUUGGCUUGAGUGGGAGAGAGAUGGCUGGUGGUUAACAGACUGAGAUGCGAGACCUCCAGACCCUGCCAGCAAAAGCCCCUGCGGGUGGGGAGGGCCCAGAGGACAGAGUCAUGGCAUUCAUGCCCAGAGUGACACCUUCCUGGGGACCUUCUAUGCCCCAGAAUUGAGAAAACAGGGUCUUUCUAUACCUUCCAGAGGGAGGGAUGACAACAUCAUCUCACAGAUUGGGGAACAGGGGUGAGCCUGGUCAGCUGGCCUCCCGUGAGUCCUGGGAGCAGACUGAGCCCCGCCUGUCUGAGAACACCGGAUAAUGAGGCAGUUGGAGGGCGCUGCUGUGUUUCCCCUGGACCAGGGCAAAAGGCUUUGCAGCACAGGCAGGCAGUGAUCACUGAUUUCAGGCGGGGCUGUGGCUCCUCAAGUGCUCAGGGAUAGGGGCCCAAAAUGGGGUGGUGGAGGGUUCCUGGGGCUUUCUUGGGGCUUGUUGGGUUGUCCAUCACAAUAGCAUCCCCAUUAUACUUCUCCACUUCCUCUUUCCCUCUUUAGGAAUGACCCCAAAGGAGCCCUGCAUUAGAGCACACUGGGUUCAUAGUUUACCCUCCUCACUGCACCCCAGGAAGACAAGUGAAGCCUGGGUGACUCCAGAGACAUGGAGGCCUCCCCAGGCCAUGGGCAAGGUGAAAGGUCUGGGAAUACUCACCAUCUAGGAGCUCAGGCCUGCUUGGACCAGACUUCAGGAAAACCUGAAGUGAGUGCAGACUCACUCAGAGGUGCACACACACACAGGCACACUCACACGCAGGAUAAAUGCCCAUGCAGACAGGCAUGCACUCUCACAUUCUAGCACCUGGCACCCUGGUUCUGGCUGGACUCACUGUGAAAGACUCAGCCUGUGUCUUACUUCCCUGGUGCCCAUCUGCAAUCCCCCCAGGGUCUUUGGCUAUUGAUGGUUUCACAGAGAGACCUGGACUCAGCUCUCUGGGGCCCCUGGGAGAUCAACCCAUGGUUACGAUUGACACUAGUUGCCUGGGAUGGACCAAUUGACCUCUUGGUGGUUCCCAUCAGUGUCUGGGAGACAGUGGUCAUGAUGCAGGAAGCAAGGACCCAUGUGGAGCUCUGCCAUUAAGUCGAUGUGGGAACAAUCACCCUCGACUGAAAUAUGGGCACUUCUAAUUCAUCUUUCCUCCAGAACAACCUGCUUCCAUAACUGGCAGCCCUGCCCCACCAGUAGACUAUGUCUAAAGCUUCCUGUGCUCUCAGGGCCAACUGAAGCCACCCAGGACUGCAGACUGAAGAUGGGAACUGUAGCCAGCACUACCUGGGGCUCACCCCACCAGCCACCCCACUCCCAACCCAGCUCGCUAGGCUUUGCCAAGCACCAGGCCAGGCUCAGCAGCUUGCGAGCCAUGUAACAUGCCAGAUAGAUAGUGGAGGGAACAUGUAACUGAGUAACCAGCACCAGAGCUGGGCCACACAUUUUUUGUUUUUCAUGCAGCCUGUAUUUGCGGGAGGGUGGUGGUAUUGAUGGCUCUGUGUGCCCCAGGGGUCUCUGUCCAGGCACUCUAGUGCUUCUCUGGUGGCUGUCCCUCUCCACUGGUCCAUAUUUCAAACUUCAGUUUGGGGAAUGGGCCAUCAGCCUAGCAUGCCAGAGAGGAUCCCUCACAAAUGACUCCUGAGACCCCUGGGUGCAGCUCGUACAUGUUUUUAGUCCCUUUGGGACCUUGGCUUGCCUCCCAGCCCUUCCUCCUCAGGCUCUCUGGCUGGUCCCUGCUGACCUCGCACUGAAGAUCCUAGCGCAUUCCCCCAGGAAGGCUUGAGAUGGCGAAGAACUCUGCUUGGAGAACCCAGCUCUGGACACCUGUCUCUGGGCUUUGGCAGCAGGAAGCUGGCCACUGGCCUUAGCCGUCAGCUAGAAUGGGUCAUUUUCUUAGCAGCCAUGAAUGCAGAGGUAUUUCUGGUUAGUCUCAUAAGAACAAAACCAUCCACUUCCCCAGAGUCCUCACACAUUCCACCCAAAAAGCAAAGGAGACACAGGCCUUCUUGGUCUUCAGGAUCCCAUAGCUGUUUCCCUGAACAGGGAAGAAACUUUAGCCUUGGGUUUUCUCUCCAUUCCAUGACACAGGGCUCCAGGCCACUGCAGCUUCCGGACAUCAGUACCCGAUAGGUGUAAAGUGCCUACUCCCUGAAGAAAGAUCUGAAAGUAUUUUUUUGAUGACAGUGGGGAAUAUGUCUGGAUUUUUGGACUCAAUGGCACUAAUUAUAUCUUCUGAGGUUUAUGUGUAAAUAUGAUUUUGUGAAACUAAUCAUAUCUCUAAAGAGGAAAAAUAAACUCCUGCAAAGCUGCUCUAUGUGCUUGAGAGGACAGCAGCUGGGACAACUGCUCUGUGCUCAUCAGACCCAGCUGGAGGGCGGCACUGGCACUGCGCACAUCCAGGGGAGGGCCAGGCAGGGAAAAGGCUUCUGAACUGUGGCAUAAACAAGUAGGGCAGCGGCCUCCCCUUUCAUUUGAAUAUAAAAUUCAAAGUCUUUCUCCCGGCCUAAAAGGCCCACCAUCUGCUGCAGACUCUGCCCACUCCUCUGUUGGGCCUCAUGGCGUGAACCGGCAGCCUCCCUUCUGCCUGCUGAACACAUCCAGCUCAACCCGCUUUAGGGCCUUGAUGAUUCUGUGCCUGGAACACUCCCUCCAGGGUGGCUCUCUGUUGUCCUGCAGGCCUCAGUCCCAGUGUCACCUUCUCAGAGAAGCCUUAUCUGAUCUCUUAUCUAGUGUGGCACCUCCAGCCAAUACCUACCAUGCUGCUAGCCUGUUUUAUUCUCUUCUAACUACUAUCUGCCACUUUCUGUUCAUUUACAUGCUUAUGAUCUAGCCAUCCCCCCUAGGACAUCCCAGCAGGUACCCUGCCUGUCUCUCUUGUAUCUCCCCAGCAUCUAGGACAAUCCUGAUUCACAGAAAAUGUUCAAAGAAUACUUGUUGCACAAAUGGAUGAGUGUUUAGUCUGGAGACGAGAAUACUAUUUCCAAAUAUUUAAAGGUGUUAUAACCAGAAGGAAGAAGUAGUCUUACUGUAUAUGGCACCAAUGUGUGGAAAUUAUGGUGGUGGCAGAUUUUAGCUCCAUCUGAGAAAGGACUAAUAAACAGGGCGAAUCCAACAUAGUGUGGGCUGCUCUGAGAGGUGAGUUCCUUGAUGCUGAAGGCACUCGAGCAGAGGCCAGAAGACCCCUUGGCAGGGACGCUGUAAGGCUGUGGAUGAGGCUCCCACACUGGGCAGGAGCAUGGGUGGAGAGUGUCUCUUCAACCACAAGAGCCUGUCAUUCCAAGUCAUACAUUCUACACUGCCUGGCACACGGUACAGGUUCCCUAAUGCCAGUCUCCAGAGUGUGGACUGAGAAAGACUUUUUCCUGGAAGACCAAAAUGCUCGGUAGGUCCCAUAUUUAAUCACUGAUCCUUGUGAUUUUAUUUUUGCAUGACAAAUACCUUUAAACUCAAUAUAUCUCCACCUGUAGCAAAUUCCUAGGGUGUUUGUUAACAAUUCAGAAUCUGGGGCUCCCCACUUUUAUGGGAUCUGAAUCACUGGGUAUGAGGCUCAGGAAACAGGAGUUGAACAAGCAGCCCAGGUGAUUCUUAUGAGGACCACGCUCCUAGGUCUUCCCUCCCCUGCAUUACAAAGAGGAGCACGUGAUCCCAUGAUUUGCCACCCCAGGGUGCACUGUGCUGUCUCACCCAGUGACCCUGAAAACAAACUUGACCUAAGGUAUUGAGUGGAUCAAGAGAAAACAAAGAGUAUGCCCCAAAGGAAAAGCGACCAUACUGUAUGCCAACACUGAGUCUAAACUCCUCAAGCAGGUGAGAUGCUCUUUAAGCUAGGAAGAGAAUGUUUGUGGCUUUUACAAAAAAGAGGCUGUGAAGAAGGGACAGGCUGUGAAAUGGGCAGCAGGGUAUUGAAGGCGAAAGCCAACACCCAUUCCCUCUCAGUGGCUAUCACAGAAUUGUUUAGUCCAAGAUAACUAGAAGAACAAAGGCCAUCUCCUGCCUCUUGUGUAAUAUUUCAUAAAAGGAAAAAUAUAAACCUCCAUGGGUCUGUCUUUGCUAUGGUCUUCCCUCAGCCCUCCCUUGACUAACUCACCUGUGCACCUUGGAUGCAAAGAAGGCUUCUGGGGAAGAGUUUCCCCAUAACCUCGAGGUCAGAGCUGCCCAGGACAGGGAGAUUAUGAAGGUGGAGCUGUCCAUCUUCUGUGAUUCCUGGCUUGGGAGGGGUUGGCACUAAAGAGGGAACUGGCUUGCUCCAAGAAUGAGACCCACAGAUGCCUAUUUUUGUAUGCCUUAAUAUAGGAACAUGGGUCUCACAUUUUAUAAAUAUCCAGAUGGGCCUGAGUCCUUGUGCCAUGAGACCCUGGUGCAGCAGAAAUGCCCUUUUCACCCCCAAGACUCCCAGAAGAUGGUCAGACUCUUGGAACUGUUGAGCUGGGGUUCUGGUUCACUCAUAAGCCCUUUACAUGUCUGCUUGCUCCUUCGAAUCAGCUAAACAGAUGGCUGGUCUCAGGGGCUUGCAGGAUGCGUCUGAGUUAAGUGUGAUUAUGAAUAGAAUACAGUUUGCAAAGAGAAUCUUCUCUCAGAUUCCCUCUCCACAAGCUCACUCUGUGCAGCCUCUGUUAGGGAUAGUAUAAAGGCUGCUGUGUCAUCAGGUGACCUUGCCACAGAGUUGUGCAUCUGUUGGCUCAGAGUGUGGCCCCAUCCCCAUAGUGACCACCUCCCCAGUUCUGCAAAGGCAUUUUCCCCUCCCACUGCCUGCUGGGGACUCCAAGGCAGCAAUGCCUCUUAACAGCUCUUAGGAUGCCUGGGAAAAAGAGAUUGCUCCCCGUUAGGAAGAAAAAGUAUUUCAUUCACCAGGCUACUAUUUCUCUAGGUAAUAGUCUAUCCAGGUACAUGAGAGGCGGAGGGAAAGGGUCUUUGCUGCUUUGUCAGACACAACUAUUGAAUAAAAUCAAGCCACGCUGGUGAGUUCACAUGAACUGUUAUUUCCUUUAAUAAUGCAAAGGUGUAAACUUCAUAAAGCCCUCACU
Homo sapiens (human) is the source of this 5727-nucleotide long non-coding RNA. Ensembl annotates it as NCAM1 antisense RNA1. Its record names the gene NCAM1-AS1. The record is from Ensembl. NCBI's taxonomy places the organism in Eukaryota, Metazoa, Chordata, Mammalia, Primates, Hominidae.